RNAcentral lists this ribosomal RNA (459 nucleotides) under uncultured bacterium. Its description in RNAcentral is "partial 16S ribosomal RNA". It matches the Rfam family "Bacterial small subunit ribosomal RNA", at positions 338 to 795 of the family's 1533-position model. The record is from RNAcentral.
CCUACGGGAGACAGCAGUGAGGAAUAUUGGUCAAUGGGCGGGAGCCUGAACCAGCCAAGCCGCGUGAGGGAAGAAGGUACAGCGUAUCGUAAACCUCUUUUGUCAGGGAACAAAGGCGGGGACUAGUCCCCGGAUGAGGGUACCUGAAGAAAAAGCAUCGGCUAACUCCGUGCCAGCAGCCGCGGUAAUACGGAGGAUGCGAGGGUUAUCCGGUUUUAUUGGGUUUAAGGGGGGCGCGGUCGGCCUGUUAAUUCAGCGGUAAAAGCCCGGGGCUAAACCCCGGCGAGCCGUUGAAACUGGCGGGCUGGAGUGGGAGAGAGGUACGCGGAAUGCGCGGUGUAGCGGUGAAAGGCUUAGAUAUCGGGCAGAACCCCGAUGGCGAAGGCAGCGUACCGGCUCCACACUGACGCUGAGGCACGAAAGCGUGGGUAUCGAACAGGAUUAGAUACCCUUGUAGUC